UGGGGAAUUUUGGACAAUGGGCGAAAGCCUGAUCCAGCAAUGCCGUGUGUGUGAAGAAGGCCUUCGGGUUGUAAAGCACUUUUGUCCGGAAAGAAAUCCUUGGCUCUAAUACAGUCGGGGGAUGACGGUACCGGAAGAAUAAGCACCGGCUAACUACGUGCCAGCAGCCGCGGUAAUACGUAGGGUGCAAGCGUUAAUCGGAAUUACUGGGCGUAAAGCGUGCGCAGGCGGUUUGCUAAGACCGAUGUGAAAUCCCCGGGCUCAACCUGGGAACUGCAUUGGUGACUGGCAGGCUAGAGUAUGGCAGAGGGGGGUAGAAUUCCACGUGUAGCAGUGAAAUGCGUAGAGAUGUGGAGGAAUACCGAUGGCGAAGGCAGCCCCCUGGGCCAAUACUGACGCUCAUGCACGAAAGCGUGGGGAGCAAACAGGAUUAGAUACCCUGGUAGUCCACGCCCUAAACGAUGUCAACUAGUUGUUGGGGAUUCAUUUCCUUAGUAACGUAGCUAACGCGUGAAGUUGACCGCCUGGGGGAGUACGGUCGCAAGAUUAAAACUCAAAUGAAUUGACGGGG
Molecule: ribosomal RNA, 571 nt
Filed under: uncultured bacterium
Lineage: Bacteria
Description: partial 16S ribosomal RNA
Rfam family: Bacterial small subunit ribosomal RNA
Source: RNAcentral